Molecule: transfer RNA, 84 nt
Filed under: Verrucomicrobiota bacterium
Lineage: Bacteria; Pseudomonadati; Verrucomicrobiota
Description: Verrucomicrobia bacterium tRNA-Leu
Rfam family: tRNA
About the family: Transfer RNA (tRNA) molecules are approximately 80 nucleotides in length. Their secondary structure includes four short double-helical elements and three loops (D, anti-codon, and T loops).
Source: RNAcentral
GCCCGGAUGGCGGAAUUGGCAGACGCAUCAGACUCAAAAUCUGACGGCCUUUGGGUCGUGUGGGUUCGACCCCCACUCCGGGUA